Molecule: ribosomal RNA, 198 nt
Filed under: uncultured bacterium
Lineage: Bacteria
Description: partial 16S ribosomal RNA
Rfam family: Bacterial small subunit ribosomal RNA
Source: RNAcentral
UAGUUCGGAUUGUAGGCUGCAACUCGCCUACAUGAAGCUGGAAUUGCUAGUAAUCACAGGUCAGCAUACUGUGGUGAAUACGUUCCCGGGCCUUGUACACACCGCCCGUCACACCAUGAGAGUUGAGAAUACCCGAAGUCCAUGUCAAAGUGGCCGAAGGUAGGCUUGAUGAUUGGGGUGAAGUCGUAACAAGGUAGC